UGAACGCUGGCGGCAGGCCUAACACAUGCAAGUCGAACGGUAACAGGAAGCAGCUUGCUGCUUUGCUGACGAGUGGCGGACGGGUGAGUAAUGUCUGGGAAACUGCCCGAUGGAGGGGGAUAACUACUGGAAACGGUAGCUAAUACCGCAUAACGUCGCAAGACCAAAGAGGGGGACCUUAGGGCCUCUUGCCAUCGGAUGUGCCCAGAUGGGAUUAGCUAGUAGGUGGGGUAACGGCUCACCUAGGCGACGAUCCCUAGCUGGUCUGAGAGGAUGACCAGCCACACUGGAACUGAGACACGGUCCAGACUCCUACGGGAGGCAGCAGUGGGGAAUAUUGCACAAUGGGCGCAAGCCUGAUGCAGCCAUGCCGCGUGUAUGAAGAAGGCCUUCGGGUUGUAAAGUACUUUCAGCGGGGAGGAAGGGAGUAAAGUUAAUACCUUUGCUCAUUGACGUUACCCGCAGAAGAAGCACCGACUAACUCCGUGCCAGCAGCCGCGGUAAUACGGAGGGUGCAAGCGUUAAUCGGAAUUACUGGGCGUAAAGCGCACGCAGGCGGUUUGUUAAGUCAGAUGUGAAAUCCCCGGGCUCAACCUGGGAACUGCAUCUGAUACUGGCAAGCUUGAGUCUCGUAGAGGGGGGUAGAAUUCCAGGUGUAGCGGUGAAAUGCGUAGAGAUCUGGAGGAAUACCCGGUGGCGAAGGCGGCCCCCUGGACGAAGACUGACGCUCAGGUGCGAAAGCGUGGGGGAGCAAACAGGAUUAGAUACCCUGGUAGUCCACGCCGUAAACGAUGUCGACUUGGAGGUUGUGCCCUUGAGGCGUGGCUUCCGGAGCUAACGCGUUAAGUCGACCGCCUGGGGAGUACGGCCGCAAGGUUAAAACUCAAAUGAAUUGACGGGGGCCCGCACAAGCGGUGGAGCAUGUGGUUUAAUUCGAUGCAACGCGAAGAACCUUACCUGGUCUUGACAUCCACGGAAGUUUUCAGAGAUGAGAAUGUGCCUUCGGGAACCGUGAGACAGGUGCUGCAUGGCUGUCGUCAGCUCGUGUUGUGAAAUGUUGGGUUAAGUCCCGCAACGAGCGCAACCCUUAUCCUUUGUUGCCAGCGGUCCGGCCGGGAACUCAAAGGAGACUGCCAGUGAUAAACUGGAGGAAGGUGGGGAUGACGUCAAGUCAUCAUGGCCCUUACGACCAGGGCUACACACGUGCUACAAUGGCGCAUACAAAGAGAAGCGACCUCGCGAGAGCAAGCGGACCUCAUAAAGUGCGUCGUAGUCCGGAUUGGAGUCUGCAACUCGACUCCAUGAAGUCGGAAUCGCUAGUAAUCGUGGAUCAGAAUGCCACGGUGAAUACGUUCCCGGGCCUUGUACACACCGCCCGUCACACCAUGGGAGUGGGUUGCAAAAGAAGUAGGUAGCUUAACCUUCGGGAGGGCGCUUACCACUUUGUGAUUCAUGACUGGGG
RNAcentral lists this ribosomal RNA (1462 nucleotides) under uncultured organism. RNAcentral's name for it is "16S ribosomal RNA". It matches the Rfam family "Bacterial small subunit ribosomal RNA". The record is from RNAcentral.